RNAcentral lists this non-coding RNA (29 nucleotides) under Homo sapiens (human). Lineage: Eukaryota; Metazoa; Chordata; Mammalia; Primates; Hominidae. The record is from RNAcentral.
UGAGAGUGCGCAUGGAAAUCUUCUGUCCC